RNAcentral lists this long non-coding RNA (4833 nucleotides) under Aotus nancymaae (Ma's night monkey). RNAcentral's name for it is "lncRNA (ENSANAG00000038656.1)". Lineage: Eukaryota; Metazoa; Chordata; Mammalia; Primates; Aotidae. The record is from RNAcentral.
GCUUCGAUCUCCACCCGGAAGCCCUUCGUUCCUCUGUGCACCUGAUGGCUCCCUCCAGAAGCUCUGAGAACCCGCUACUUGGCACCUCCUCAGGGAUCUGCCAUGGCGUGGGGUUCUCUGCUCCCUCUAUCAGAGACCCACAGCCUGUGGACUGCGAUGGCCCAGCACUCCUGCUUGUGUCUCCCGCUUGGCUGGAAGCCAACCAAGAGCAGGGUGUGUGCUGGGGUGUCCAACCUGGGACCGGGCACAGGGCACACCCACACGUUGAAGGAGUGUGAAUACAUAGACAGAAUCUGGUUCUGGAUCAGCCUUGGAGGUGGGGAGAGGGGCUGGUGGGGUCUGGGCAGAUGAAAGGGAUGGAUAGAGCUUGACGGUGAUGUAGAAAAGCAGUGUGUGUUGGGGGUGAGGGGCUCCAGGGAAGACUGAGCGCCCAGGGAACCUCCAUGAUCCCUGUCCUGGCAGUCUCUAAGGUAUGAGGUCCUCCCUCCCAUGCAAACACCAGAAAUGGUUUGGGGCAGCCUGGCCGUGGGAUGCAGGAGGGAGCUUUGUCCCUUCUGAUGGUGCUGCCACCUGGCUUCCUGGCAGGAGCCAACAGAGCAAGUGGGGGAGCUGGCCUAGAAGCCAAGGGGGUCCCAGGAGCCCUGCAGGUACCUGAGCAGCUUUGGAAAGGAAGGCGCCAGAGGAACUGGGAGGGAGGAGCAUGUCUGGAGAUGACUCCUCCCAGCCUUGGAAGCUGGGGGCGUCUGGAACAGCAGGGUCCCUCAAGAGAGGAAGAUGCCAGGAUGGCACAGAAUUUAGGGCUCACUCCAGCCAGCUGCCCCCAGCCUCCUCCCCAGAAUGCAGGCCUUCGCGCCACAGGUAAUUCAUGGCCCAGACUCAGCCCAGGCUGAGAUGCUCCUGGCUUUAUGAUUCAGUUCAAUCCAGGAGUGCUAAUGGGGCAAUUUGUAAAGAAAGAAAUAUAAUGAGUUAUCACAAAGCCCAGCAAGGACUCGACAAACCAGGCACUUCCCAUCCAUCAAGCAUCCUAGCGUGGUCGGAGACCAGCAGCGCCAGAAAUCUUGUGAGGCCCCUGGGAACGUGCUUUUCCUGGGCCUGGACACACACAUGUGGCAGCUACUGCAGCUGCUUCCUUCUCCCUCUGCCCCCCACCCCCAAUCAUGGUCCCUAAGGGCCAGAUGACCUGGGGCGAUGGUGUGGGUGGGGUACAAUGGAGGUAAAAGGGGGAUACUUAAGAAUUUCUUUGCUGAAGCAAAAUUAUCAUGCAGGCCAUUUUUUUUUUUUUUUUAAAAAGAGCAUUAAUGCCAUGUGAAGGCCACAGAGUCCCAGAUGUUGCAGGCAGGCUGCGAUGUUUCCCCAGGGCUCUUGUUGCCAGCCCAUGCCAGGGUUGCUGAAACUGGGGCUUGGCCUGGCAUGAAGCCUAAGGUCAUGGAGAUGAUACUGGGCAGCCCCAUCCAUCCAGUAUGUCUCAUGAAGUCAAAGUUCACCCAGCCUGGGCCUAUGGGAUACCUUCUGCAGAGAGCAGGUGCCAUGCCGUGUCCACUCUGCUGAGACAGCAGGCCGCUCACUUGAGUCAGAGACCCACAGGCAGGCAAGUCCCUCCUGGGCUUCUUUCAGAUGUGCACAGUGGGGUCCAGAAUGGAGAAGUGAAUUGCCAGAGGACUUGCAUUAAGGAAGUGGCAGUUUGUCACAUUGUAUACAUUGAUAGUCUAGGACAGUGUGGCUGGGGCUGGGUGGGUAGCAAGGGGCAGUAGAAAGGGCGAGGCCUAGAGGGCACGUCUGGAGGCCCCAAGUCCAGAUACCUGGGCCUGGCACUGGCCCAACCUGCCUCAGCCUCCAUGCUGGGGUCCCUGGACUGGCACUUGCCCUUUCCUUUCCAGCCGCCACUGCCCUGUUCUAGCUCAGAUCUGGAGGAUGGAGAUUUUGGUCAGUCUGGGAAGGAGGGCUGGCCUGCAGAGAGGUCUCUCUGGGCUGAGGCAUCCAUGUGCUCUGUCCCUGGUACUCUCCAGCCUCUGCUGCCUUCCUAGCUGGCCUGGACCCUGGGGAUCUCCCCUACCAGGUACCUCAGGAGGCCCCUGGCCAGAGCCGCAGGUCAUGGAAAGGCCUCAUGGCCAGCAGAUGGAACAGAGAGAGGCCUGGUUUCAGUAGGGACUGCUUGAGCCCACACAGAGUGAUGUGAUCCAGAAUGGUCCUCAGCAUAGUCCAGGUGGUCCUGUCCUACCCACUCAGGUCCUGCCUUCUUUCCUCCUGUUUUUUGUAGGCAAUCUGGAGAGCUCUGAAGCCCAGAGAAAUCAACCUGCCACCUCAGAACAGGCAGGUCCCACAGAGAAGGACAGCCACCUCCCUCAGAAGAAGAGCAGAUAAUGAGCAAGCACAGCCAGUGCUUCCUGUGUGCCGAGUGUGGUUCUGAAUGCUGCACACUGACGAACUCACUCAUCCUCUUACCAGUACCAUGAUGAGAUUCUCUUGUUAUUAUUCCCAUUUUGCAGAUUAGAAAAUUGAGGCAUGGAGAGGCUGAAUAACUUGCUUAAGGUCACCCAGCUAGUGAAUGGCAGAAUACGAGUUCAAACCCAGCCAGACUGGCUCCGGAAUGUUCUGGUGGUCCAGCAGAUGUCCCGGACCUAGAGGCUACUGGUGCCCUGCAUCCAACCUUGGUACCACCUCCGACUCCCAAUAAGGUGAGGCUGACGGGCAGAUUCCUAGACAGAGGGAUUCUCCUGGAAGGGGCCAGUCCUGGAGAACCUGUUGAGUCUUGAGGGUAGACGCCCAAGUUUCCCAUGCUCUGUGAGAGAUGGGGGAAUGUGGGACAGGGAGAGGGCAGUGGACACAGGGCAUUGACUCAGGUUUGGGGAAGUCUCCAAAGAGCAUGGGGCUGACCCAGUAAACACCUGCCGUGUGCCAAGUACUAUGCCUAGCAUGAACUGAACUACAGUGGAGACUAAAAAAGGUUAAGUAACUGGCCCAAGGUCACACCGCUAAUAAGAAGUACAGCCAGCUUUCAAGUCAGCUCUAUCUGGUUUUACAUUUGGGUUCAUGACGCCAUGGUGCUAGAGAGGGGCAGGGUGGAAGGAGGGAUGGAGGAAGAGUGGGAAGGAAGGUGAGGACCCAGAGGACAUACCCCAGAGAGCAGAGCUGGGCACACUAGGAAGUCACACUGGGAACUGGAGGGCACUGGGUCAGUCUGGCUCACAGCCAGAUGGGGAUUCUUAAAAAAAAAAAAAAAAAAGCUGGGCGUGGUGGCUCAUGCCUAUAAUCCCAGCACUUUGGGAGGCCGAGGCGGGUGGAUCACGAGGUCAAGAGAUCGAGACCAUCCUGGUCAAAAUGGUGAAACCUUGUCUCUACUAAACAUACAAAAAAUUAGCCAAGCAUGGUGGCGCGCGCCUGUAGUCCCAGCUACUCGGGAGGCUGAGGCAGGAGAAUUGUUGGAACCCAGGAGGCGGAGGUUGCAGUGAGCCGAGAUCGCGCCAUUGCACUCCAGCCUGGGUAACAAGAGCGAAACUCUGUCUCAAAAAAAAAAAAAAAAGAAUGCAACUGUUAGCAGCUGCAGAUGGGGAUUCUUAAGAGAGGUAGAGAUACAACCUGUGGGAGGGUGGAGGCAGGGGGCUGCUGGGAUUGACCACCUCGCUUCUAGGUUGCCACUCCAAGCUUCCUCUGGGGCAAUGAGCCCUGUUGCUUCCCAGAGGAAAACUGCACCCCACAGACCAGGGGAGAGACCAAAGCUCCUGCCCUGCAUCCAUAUCUCCCAGGCUUCUAGCCCCCAGGGGCUGCAUCGGUGCUUCAGCGUUCUCUGCCAUCCCUUACUCGCCAUGUCCCUUGUGAUCCAAACUCUUAGGUCUCCGUGUCCCACAGGUCAUCACUUCCUGCCUCUCAAGUUCCCACAUCCUAUGGCCCAUCCUGGGAGCGGAAGGGUUACGGCUUCUGCUGCUGAGUGGAGGCUGCUGUUCCCCAGCGUUAAGCAGCUUUAGUGUCUCCUACCCCAGCCCUGAUUUAAAAUUCAUAAAUGCUAAUCCUUCAUAAUUUACGGUUUAAAAGCAGCCCCACUCACAGGCCCCGUGGCUACAGCUCUGUCAGAGUAAUUAUGCCGCCAAGCUGAAAUUGGACUACUAACUGAGAUAUUAAACGGGGGGGCGAAAUCCUCGCGCUGGCAGCCGACCCAAUUAUUCCAAAUAAGCAAACAGAUUAGUGAGUAAUUUUCCAGUUAAAUUUGGUGAUUGGUGCCAGAAUUGUAUGUUAAAUAUUCAGAAGUAAAUAGAUUAAAGAUGAAAUGUGCCCUCCUCCCUUUUUCCAGGCUUAAUUUACUGUGUAUAUUAAAACUUUUUCAUGAGGAGAAAAAAAGUGAAAAAUGAUAAUUAAAAAAUCCAAAUAAACCCCUCUGGGCCUCCUGGUAUAGCAAGGCAGGGGCCAGGCCCCCCGGCCUCCUUGACUUACUAGCCCUCCUGGGCAGGGCCAGCCACCUCCCCUGGACCCAAACUCUAGCCCUCCCCAGGGCAGAGGCAUGGAGGAUGGAGGAUUCCGGGCAUCUGGGUGGGCUGGAGACCUCCUGGCCCCUGUGCACUGGGCUUGUAUUCUUUACGAAGAGAAAUCCCAAAUCUAUUAGUCCUAAAGUCAGACAGAGCUGAGAAAAUCCAGGCAGGGGUUGGGGGAGAGGUGGUUCUUGAGUGGGCACUCGAGGCCCCCGGGGGUGCUGGGCUCCUCCCAGCACAGAGUACUGUCUGGUUCUCAGUGCCCAAGUGCCCAGGGCUAGGACCCAGGCCACCGGCAGCAGCAUGCCGUCCUGUCCUGGCUGUAGCUGCUGGUCUGCUGUCCUGGGGCGGGGGUGCUGAGCAGUGACUGUCC